GCAAGUAGAACGCUGAAGAGAGGAGCUCGCUCUUCUUGGAUGAGUUGCGAACGGGUGAGUAACGCGUAGGUAACCUGCCUUGUAGCGGGGGAUAACUAUUGGAAACGAUAGCUAAUACCGCAUAACAAUGGAUGACACAUGUCAUUUAUUUGAAAGGGGCAAUUGCUCCACUACAAGAUGGACCUGCGUUGUAUUAGCUAGUUGGUGAGGUGACGGCUCACCAAGGCGACGAUACAUAGCCGACCUGAGAGGGUGAUCGGCCACACUGGGACUGAGACACGGCCCAGACUCCUACGGGAGGCAGCAGUAGGGAAUCUUCGGCAAUGGGGGCAACCCUGACCGAGCAACGCCGCGUGAGUGAAGAAGGUUUUCGGAUCGUAAAGCUCUGUUGUAAGAGAAGAACGUGUGUGAGAGUGGAAAGUUCACACAGUGACGGUAACUUACCAGAAAGGGACGGCUAACUACGUGCCAGCAGCCGCGGUAAUACGUAGGUCCCGAGCGUUGUCCGGAUUUAUUGGGCGUAAAGCGAGCGCAGGCGGUUUAAUAAGUCUGAAGUUAAAGGCAGUGGCUUAACCAUUGUUCGCUUUGGAAACUGUUAGACUUGAGUGCAGAAGGGGAGAGUGGAAUUCCAUGUGUAGCGGUGAAAUGCGUAGAUAUAUGGG
RNAcentral lists this ribosomal RNA (662 nucleotides) under uncultured bacterium. RNAcentral describes it as "bacterial SSU rRNA". It matches the Rfam family "Bacterial small subunit ribosomal RNA", at positions 57 to 702 of the family's 1533-position model. The record is from RNAcentral.